Molecule: ribosomal RNA, 218 nt
Filed under: uncultured bacterium
Lineage: Bacteria
Description: partial 16S ribosomal RNA
Rfam family: Bacterial small subunit ribosomal RNA
Source: RNAcentral
CGUGAGGAACCUGCCUCAAAGAGGGGGACAACAGCUGGAAACGGCUGCUAAUACCGCAUGACGCAUUCGGAUGGCAUCAUCUGAAUGCCAAAGAUUUAUCGCUGAAAGAUGGCCUCGCGUCUGAUUAGAUAGUUGGCGGGGUAACGGCCCACCAAGUCGACGAUCAGUAGCCGGACUGAGAGGUUGACCGGCCACAUUGGGACUGAGAUACGGCCCAG